This is a non-coding RNA of Physocladia obscura, 71 nucleotides long. Lineage: Eukaryota; Fungi; Chytridiomycota; Chytridiomycetes; Chytridiales; Chytriomycetaceae. The record is from the annotation of a GenBank genome assembly.
AAGGGAUUAGCUCAAUGGUAGAGCGCUCGUUUUACACGCGAUAUACAGAGGUUCGAUUCCUCUAUUCCUUA